Triticum aestivum (bread wheat) is the source of this 782-nucleotide long non-coding RNA. RefSeq lists it as uncharacterized. The record is from RefSeq and is a predicted model, not a curated record. NCBI's taxonomy places the organism in Eukaryota, Viridiplantae, Streptophyta, Magnoliopsida, Poales, Poaceae. The transcript has 3 exons.
AUGUUGCCGUCGGCCCACCUUAUCCAUUUGACCGCUUAUCCAUCUCUCCUCGUGCUUCAUUGGCGUCCAGCUGCGGCAAUGGCGACGACGGCGGCCAAGAACAGUUCGAUCGGGAGGUCCAUCUUGUCACAGGCCAAUUGUGGUGACGUGACUGACCAGGUAGUUUUUCGGCACGGCGGCCAUGGGAGAAAUAAGAUCGGAGGUGCACUCACUUCAGCGGAGCCAUGUUCUUGGCUCUUUUUCCGUUGAUGUUGAAUCCUGCUCCAAGUUCUCCAACCGCAAGUAGCUGCUUUUGAAGUCCACCAAUUAUAUGCCAGGUUAUGCCAAGAACCACCAUAGAUCUGGUUUGUGGCACGACAGGGUUGUAUCUCCUCGUACAGGGUGUAUGUCUUUGGAUGCAUUACGACGACGCCGCCGGCGGCCAUGUGCGGCGGAGCGGCCAUCGUGAAGUUUCAUGCAUGCCCGACGAGUGAUCCGACUCGCCCAAUCUCAUCUGCAGCUGCAGUGUCGUAGCCUUCCCUCGGGUCUGCUCUCUCCAAGUCUGAUACACGCCGUGGAAAUAUGACGUCAGAUUGAAGAACACAUGAAUCACCAUGGAUCUCCUAGCUACCGAUGGUGCCUGUUUGAUCCAUGGCUCCAUGCCCUAUAAGUGUGCAUGACAUUAAUUUGCUUGUACGUACGCAUGAGAAACAGUUGGCAGUUUCCUUUGCACCCAUAUAAUCGAGUCAUGUUUCUUAUUGUUGAGGACGUAUAUGUUCCCUGCAAAAAAUUGAUGAUGUAUA